GACGAACGCUGGCGGCGUGCUUAACACAUGCAAGUCGAACGGAAAGGCCUGCUUUCCCUUGUGGAUUGCGGGUACUCGAGUGGCGAACGGGUGAGUAACACGUGAGUGAUCUGCCCCCAACUUGGGUAUAAGCCUGGGAAACUGGGUCUAAUUCCCGAUAGGACUGCAGGGUGGUGCCUGUGGUGGAAAACGAUUUUCUAGUGGUUGGGGAUGAGCUCGCGGCCUAUCAGCUUGUUGGUGGGGUAAUGGCCUACCAAGGCGGGGACGGGUAGCCGGCCUGAGAGGGUGGACGGGCACAUUGGGACUGAGAUACGGCCCAGACUCCUACGGGAGGCAGCAGUGGGGAAUAUUGCACAAUGGGCGGAAGCCUGAUGCAGCGACGCCGCGUGGGGGAUGACGGCCUUCGGGUUGUAACCUCCUUUCGACCGCGAGGAAGCCACCUGGUUGGAAGGGUGGUGACGGUAGUGGUAGAAGAAGCACCGGCUAACUACGUG
Molecule: ribosomal RNA, 494 nt
Filed under: uncultured bacterium
Lineage: Bacteria
Description: partial 16S ribosomal RNA
Rfam family: Bacterial small subunit ribosomal RNA
Source: RNAcentral